This 468-nucleotide ribosomal RNA is filed under the name uncultured bacterium. Its description in RNAcentral is "bacterial SSU rRNA". It matches the Rfam family "Bacterial small subunit ribosomal RNA", at positions 202 to 689 of the family's 1533-position model. The record is from RNAcentral.
GAAAGAUUUAUCGGUGAAGGAUUAGCCCGCGUUGGAUUAGGUAGUUGGUGGGGUAAAAGCCUACCAAGCCGACGAUCCAUAGCUGGUUUGAGAGGAUGAUCAGCAACACUGGGACUGAGACACGGCCCAGACUCCUACGGGAGGCAGCAGUGGGGAAUCUUACACAAUGGGGGAAACCCUGAUCUAGCCAUGCCGCGUGAGUGACGAAGGCCCUAGGGUCGUAAAGCUCUUUCGCCAGGGAAGAUAANGACUGUACCUGGUAAAGAAACCCCGGCUAACUCCGUGCCAGCAGCCGCGGUAAUACGGAGGGGGUUAGCGUUGUUCGGAAUUACUGGGCGUAAAGCGCACGUAGGCGGACUAUUAAGUUAGGGGUGAAAUCCCAGGGCUCAACCCUGGAACUGCCUCUAAUACUGGUAGUCUUGAGUUCGAGAGAGGUGAGUGGNAUUCCGAGUGUAACAGGUGAAAUUC